RNAcentral lists this small nuclear RNA (111 nucleotides) under Choloepus hoffmanni (Hoffmann's two-fingered sloth). The record is from RNAcentral. Lineage: Eukaryota; Metazoa; Chordata; Mammalia; Pilosa; Megalonychidae.
AUGUUUGCUUGGGACAGCACAUAUAAUGAAAAAGUGGAUCAGCUCAGAGAAGAUCAGCAUGAUUCCUGCACAAGGGGCAACACACAAAUUCACAAAGCAAUCAAUACUUUG